Molecule: long non-coding RNA, 502 nt
Organism: Sinocyclocheilus grahami
Lineage: Eukaryota; Metazoa; Chordata; Actinopteri; Cypriniformes; Cyprinidae
Exons: 4
Source: RefSeq, a predicted model, not a curated record
UUGUGUCCGGUCCGGUCCGUUGAAGCAGUGAUGCAUCCGUUGAGAAUCUGUAUGGUUGUUAACAUUUUAACUCUUUGGUUUAAAAUGCUGAUGCUCUAGUUGCCCGUUCUUUAGUGAAUGCCUUAGUCCUGCUAAACGGCCCAGACAAAUGCUCUUCAACCAUUUUAAUAUUGUUACGUUCUGGAAGACAAUCCCUAGACACUCCUAGGACGUAACACCUGGAGUGUUUGAAAAGAAGUUUAUUCCACCGGUAAUGUUCAACCUCGGAAAAAGGAUCAACCUCUCAGCGACAGGAUUCAGGAUGACAGAUAGCACUAGGUGGAUUUCCCAAGGGAACAACGCCACAGCUGACAUACACAAGUCUCGGGGUGGCAGUAGAGUUUCUGGGAUCUGUGGCGGUUAUUGUGGAAAAUGCACUCCCUCCUCCAGCUCUGGACGUCUUGUUGACGUUUCAUACAUCAACGUCGCUAGUUGACGUUGUUACACUUGCAUCAAGUGUACU